AACGGACGAGAAGCUUGCUUCUCUGAUGUUAGCGGCGGACGGGUGAGUAACACGUGGAUAACCUACCUAUAAGACUGGGAUAACUUCGGGAAACCGGAGCUAAUACCGGAUAAUAUUUUGAACCGCAUGGUUCAAAAGUAAAAGACGGUCUUGCUGUCACUUAUAGAUGGAUCCGCGCUGCAUUAGCUAGUUGGUAAGGUAACGGCUUACCAAGGCAACGAUGCAUAGCCGACCUGAGAGGGUGAUCGGCCACACUGGAACUGAGACACGGUCCAGACUCCUACGGGAGGCAGCAGUAGGGAAUCUUCCGCAAUGGGCGAAAGCCUGACGGAGCAACGCCGCGUGAGUGAUGAAGGUCUUCGGAUCGUAAAACUCUGUUAUUAGGGAAGAACAUAUGUGUAAGUAACUGUGCACAUCUUGACGGUACCUAAUCAGAAAGCCACGGCUAACUACGUGCCAGCAGCCGCGGUAAUACGUAGGUGGCAAGCGUUAUCCGGAAUUAUUGGGCGUAAAGCGCGCGUAGGCGGUUUUUUAAGUCUGAUGUGAAAGCCCACGGCUCAACCGUGGAGGGUCAUUGGAAACUGGAAAACUUGAGUGCAGAAGAGGAAAGUGGAAUUCCAUGUGUAGCGGUGAAAUGCGCAGAGAUAUGGAGGAACACCAGUGGCGAAGGCG
RNAcentral lists this ribosomal RNA (672 nucleotides) under uncultured Staphylococcus sp. Its description in RNAcentral is "bacterial SSU rRNA". It matches the Rfam family "Bacterial small subunit ribosomal RNA", at positions 65 to 723 of the family's 1533-position model. The record is from RNAcentral. Lineage: Bacteria; Bacillati; Bacillota; Bacilli; Caryophanales; Staphylococcaceae.